This is a long non-coding RNA of Bicyclus anynana (squinting bush brown), 590 nucleotides long. RefSeq lists it as uncharacterized. The record is from RefSeq and is a predicted model, not a curated record. Lineage: Eukaryota; Metazoa; Arthropoda; Insecta; Lepidoptera; Nymphalidae. The transcript has 2 exons.
GGUGGUAAAAAAAAAACCACUAUUAGUAAGUAGACUACUUGGUUUUAAUUAAAAACAACCAAACGUCGCUUAACCUUUGUUUAGCAAUCCUUAUAGUGAAGUACUCAGAGUGCUCAAGAGCGGUAUCUGGUCGUCAUUGGAGGCCUUGCAGGGUCACAGAUAACCAAUUGACGCGACCUGUUCGCCCUGGUGAUCUUCUGGCGGCCGUACCGCCUCUGGUAUCAACGGUGUCAAACGUCUAACGCCACUACAGCCGCGCAGCCCGCUACUACUUCUGCAGUCGUUGCAGCCUGCGGCUAUUGCGACCGCUGGAGCUGGCGUGCUGCCUGUGUCGUCUACUACAUCGACCACUGCGUCGACUAUUUAUUCCCGAAAAGAACUGGAGGCGCUGCAGAGCACGCACCGCACGUCAGUAUGGCCGUGUCGCCGGGGAAGCUUGGCUCACUGAAGGCUCUAUGGCCUCAGACCUAAUAGUUGUCAUGUUUGCUCUGUGGUUAUUUCGAAUCGACUUGUUAUCUAGUGGUCUGAUCAUUUUGCAGUCAAAAUACUGUUCCGUUUUGAUUUGAUUAAUAAUUGGUCUCUCAAGUAAU